This 832-nucleotide ribosomal RNA is filed under the name Microbispora sp. IM-2876. RNAcentral describes it as "bacterial SSU rRNA". It matches the Rfam family "Bacterial small subunit ribosomal RNA", at positions 38 to 889 of the family's 1533-position model. The record is from RNAcentral. Lineage: Bacteria; Bacillati; Actinomycetota; Actinomycetes; Streptosporangiales; Streptosporangiaceae.
GGCGGCGUGCUUAACACAUGCAAGUCGAGCGGAAAGGCCCUUCGGGGUACUCGAGCGGCGAACGGGUGAGUAACACGUGAGUAACCUGCCCCUGACUCUGGGAUAAGCCUGGGAAACCGGGUCUAAUACCGGAUACGACCAUUUCUCGCAUGGGAUGGUGGUGGAAAGUUUUUUCGGUUGGGGAUGGGCUCGCGGCCUAUCAGCUUGUUGGUGGGGUGAUGGCCUACCAAGGCGACGACGGGUAGCCGGCCUGAGAGGGCGACCGGCCACACUGGGACUGAUACACGGCCCAGACUCCUACGGGAGGCAGCAGUGGGGAAUAUUGCGCAAUGGGCGGAAGCCUGACCCAGCGACGCCGCGUGGGGGAUGACGGCCUUCGGGUUGUAAACCUCUUUCAGCAGGGACGAAGUUGACGUGUACCUGUAGAAGAAGCGCCGGCUAACUACGUGCCAGCAGCCGCGGUAAUACGUAGGGCGCGAGCGUUGUCCGGAAUUAUUGGGCGUAAAGAGCUCGUAGGUGGCUUGUCGCGUCUGCCGUGAAAGCCCGUGGCUUAACUACGGGUCUGCGGUGGAUACGGGCAGGCUAGAGGCUGGUAGGGGCAAGCGGAAUUCCUGGUGUAGCGGUGAAAUGCGCAGAUAUCAGGAGGAACACCGGUGGCGAAGGCGGCUUGCUGGGCCAGUUCUGACGCUGAGGAGCGAAAGCGUGGGGAGCGAACAGGAUUAGAUACCCUGGUAGUCCACGCUGUAAACGUUGGGCGCUAGGUGUGGGGGUCUUCCACGACUUCUGUGCCGUAGCUAACGCAUUAAGCGCCCCGCCUGGGGAGUACGGCCGC